CUUGCGGAGAGUUAUAUAAACGAAAGUAGCUAAGGCGAAAUCGGACUCAAAGAAACAAGAA
Molecule: non-coding RNA, 61 nt
Submitted as: unclassified sequences
Source: Rfam